AUCAAUCCUCUCACCAGCUAAAGGAGAUCCAUACUAAGAGGUUUCAACAACAAGAGCCAGCUACCACAAGUCGUCAGACAACGACUCUGGUCUCUGGGGAAAGCGCAGCCUCUCGAAGCAGAGUGCCACUACCGAUUUAGCUCGAUUAAGAGAUAUCAAACUCAAUCGUUUGAAAACACAUCGCAGCAAGUCCGGACAUAGCUCCGACCCGUUUGCUUCUUUUUCUUCUUGUCUCCCACGAUUUGCUUUUU
Molecule: long non-coding RNA, 251 nt
Organism: Arabidopsis thaliana (thale cress)
Lineage: Eukaryota; Viridiplantae; Streptophyta; Magnoliopsida; Brassicales; Brassicaceae
Product: other RNA
Exons: 2
Source: RefSeq